UCCAGACUCCUACGGGAGGCAGCAGUGGGGAAUAUUGGGCAAUGGGCGCAAGCCUGACCCAGCAAUGCCGCGUGAAGGAAGAAGGCUUUCGGGUUGUAAACUUCUUUGACAGGGGAAGAGCAGAAGACGGUACCCUGAAAACAAGCCACGGCUAACUACGUGCCAGCAGCCGCGGUAAUACGUAGGGGGCAAGCGUUAUCCGGAUUUACUGGGUGUAAAGGGGGCGCAGACGGCGAUGCAAGCCAGGAGUGAAAGCCCGGGGCCCAACCCCGGGACUGCUCUUGGAACUGCGUGGCUGGAGUGCAGGAGGGGCAGGCGGAAUUCCUGGUGUAGCGGUGAAAUGCGUAGAUAUCAGGAGGAACACCGGUGGCGAAGGCGGCCUGCUGGACUGCAACUGACGUUGAGGCCCGAAAGCGUGGGGAGCAAACAGGAUUAGAUACCCGCGUAU
RNAcentral lists this ribosomal RNA (448 nucleotides) under uncultured bacterium. RNAcentral describes it as "bacterial SSU rRNA". It matches the Rfam family "Bacterial small subunit ribosomal RNA", at positions 330 to 793 of the family's 1533-position model. The record is from RNAcentral.